RNAcentral lists this ribosomal RNA (374 nucleotides) under uncultured organism. RNAcentral's name for it is "partial 16S ribosomal RNA". It matches the Rfam family "Bacterial small subunit ribosomal RNA", at positions 527 to 896 of the family's 1533-position model. The record is from RNAcentral.
GUAGGUGGCAAGCGUUGUCCGGAAUUAUUGGGCGUAAAGCGCGCGCAGGCGGUCCUUUAAGUCUGAUGUGAAGGCCCACGGCUCAACCGUGGAGGGUCAUUGGAAACUGGGGGACUUGAGUACAGAAGAGGAAAGCGGAAUUCCAAGUGUAGCGGUGAAAUGCGUAGAGAUUUGGAGGAACACCAGUGGCGAAGGCGGCUUUCUGGUCUGUAACUGACGCUGAGGCGCGAAAGCGUGGGGAGCAAACAGGAUUAGAUACCCUGGUAGUCCACGCCGUAAACGAUGAGUGCUAAGUGUUAGGGGGUUUCCCGCCCCCUUAGUGCUGCAGCUAACGCAUUAAGCACUCCGCCUGGGGAGUACGGCCCGCAAGGCUG